RNAcentral lists this ribosomal RNA (489 nucleotides) under uncultured bacterium. RNAcentral describes it as "partial 16S ribosomal RNA". It matches the Rfam family "Bacterial small subunit ribosomal RNA", at positions 30 to 506 of the family's 1533-position model. The record is from RNAcentral.
AUUGAACGCUGGCGGCAGGCCUAACACAUGCAAGUCGAACGGUAACAGGUAGCAGCUUGCUGCUUCGCUGACGAGUGGCGGACGGGUGAGUAAUGUCUGGGAAGCUGCCUGAUGGAGGGGGAUAACUACUGGAAACGGUAGCUAAUACCGCAUAAUGUCGCAAGACCAAAGAGGGGGACCUUCGGGCCUCUUGCCAUCGGAUGUGCCCAGAUGGGAUUAGCUUGUUGGUGGGGUAACGGCUCACCAAGGCGACGAUCCCUAGCUGGUCUGAGAGGAUGACCAGCCACACUGGAACUGAGACACGGUCCAGACUCCUACGGGAGGCAGCAGUGGGGAAUAUUGCACAAUGGGCGCAAGCCUGAUGCAGCCAUGCCGCGUGUAUGAAGAAGGCCUUCGGGUUGUAAAGUACUUUCAGCGGGGAGGAAGGGAGUAAAGUUAAUACCUUUGCUCAUUGACGUUACCCGCAGAAGAAGCACCGGCUAACUCCGU